Non-coding RNA from Salvia splendens (bonfire salvia), 74 nucleotides. The record is from the annotation of a RefSeq genome assembly. Lineage: Eukaryota; Viridiplantae; Streptophyta; Magnoliopsida; Lamiales; Lamiaceae.
AGUGGGAUGGUAGCAGUUGGUAGCUCGUGAGCCUCAUAAGCUCAAGGUCGAGGGUUCGAGUCCCUCUCCCGCUA